UUAACUGUAUAGUUGAGUAGUGUUAAGUAGAUAGAUAUUGUUGCACAAUGUGUCUCUAGGAAAAUGUUUAGUUUGUGUUGUCUUCCUGAGAUAGAUGUUACUAUGUAGCCCAGGCUAGGCUUGAGCUGUCUGUGUAACCCAAGAUGUCCUCAAAUUCUCAGUUCUCAAGCUUCCAGCUUCCACCUUCCACAUGCUGUGAUUGUAGGUGUGUACUGCCGUUCCUUGUGUGAUCUACAGAAAACAGCCUAUCUUCUAAAAAAGCUCACCUAUAGCCAUUAGACAGCAUCUCCAUUUUAUCCCUGGGCUUCCAGCAACAAUCAUUUCACCUUCUGUUUCUAGGUGUACAAUAUGUGUGAACAACAUUCGUCUUCUUGUGACUAGCCCAUUCCCUUAGCACACCCAUCAAAGUGGACUGUAGGUUGCUUUUGAUCAUGGUCCUUGUGAUAGCAAUGGAGGGCAAACUAAAGCAGAAGCCAUCUAAACGGAUAUGAGAUUUCCUUACAGAUUCAAAACUGGCUCCCCUAGGUGAAUGAGGACAAGACAGGACUACUUAGCAGAUUGCAGGCCCAGGAUGCACUGCAGAGGAAAGGAGGCCUGUGAGUAACAUGGGGACAUGCUGCAGUGAGGUCUCAAAACAAGUGUAUCUUCAAUCAAAGGGCACUUCCUGACCAGCACGGUUGUUUGAACAGGUUGUUUGAACAAAGGCUUUGACACUUACAUGGGCUCCAGCUCUUCCUUGUUAACUUGUCUGAG
Molecule: long non-coding RNA, 753 nt
Organism: Mus musculus (house mouse)
Lineage: Eukaryota; Metazoa; Chordata; Mammalia; Rodentia; Muridae
Product: predicted gene, 46627
Exons: 3
Source: RefSeq, a predicted model, not a curated record